UGUAACUGCUGGUUAGCAUCAAGGGCUUCAU
This 31-nucleotide non-coding RNA is filed under the name Homo sapiens (human). The record is from RNAcentral. Lineage: Eukaryota; Metazoa; Chordata; Mammalia; Primates; Hominidae.